GCCAGUGUGGUGUAGUGGUUUGAGCGUUGGACUGUGACUCUUGAGACCAGGGUUCAAAUCUCAGCUUGGCCA
This 72-nucleotide transfer RNA is filed under the name Phrynosoma platyrhinos (Desert horned lizard). RNAcentral describes it as "tRNA-OTHER". Lineage: Eukaryota; Metazoa; Chordata; Lepidosauria; Squamata; Phrynosomatidae. The record is from RNAcentral.